This 255-nucleotide ribosomal RNA is filed under the name uncultured bacterium. RNAcentral describes it as "partial 16S ribosomal RNA". It matches the Rfam family "Bacterial small subunit ribosomal RNA", at positions 524 to 776 of the family's 1533-position model. The record is from RNAcentral.
UACAGAGGUCCCAAGCGUUUGUUCGGAAUCACUGGGCGUAAAGAGCUCGUAGGCGGUUUGUCGCGUCUGCCGUGAAAGUCCGGGGCUCAACUCCGGAUCUGCGGUGGGUACGGGCAGACUAGAGUGCAGUAGGGGAGAACUGGAAUUCCUGGUGUAGCGGUGAAAUGCGCAGAUAUCAGGAGGAACACCGAUGGCGAAGGCAGGUCUCUGGGCUGUAACUGACGUGGAGGAGCGAAAGCAUGGGGAGCGAACAGG